RNAcentral lists this non-coding RNA (83 nucleotides) under unclassified sequences. Its description in RNAcentral is "DUF3800-IX RNA". It matches the Rfam family "DUF3800-IX RNA". Rfam says of the family: Actinobacteria, Firmicutes (1 example), Nitrospirae, Proteobacteria, Verrucomicrobia (1 example). Nearby to DUF3800 The record is from Rfam by way of RNAcentral.
UCCCGCCCCGUGAAAAGUCGCCUACUGUGGCGGCCUGCCCCCGUCUGGUUUGGAAGGCGGUCGGGCUAGCAGGGCAGGUUGCG